UUUGAGGGGUGGGGGGGUGGGGAAGGACACAAACAUUCAGUACAUAGCAGGUUUCGGUAUUUACAGGCUUAGCCUGUCCCCAUAACCUCAUCUCAUGGAGUUCAGAAGUAAGUCUAGUCUCUAACACCUGGAGUCGGACUCCCUAAUUAUGGCUGCUGGGUAACCACUGCCCUGUUUCUUUAGUUUCUGGGAAGACCUGGGAUUCAGUGUUCCUGAGGAAUGCACAGAGGGUGAUCGUGUUGUUCUGUGAGGCACAUGUCUCACUGCUUGGCCCUCGGCACACCUAGUCCUGAAUUUUGACACGUAUCCUGACCAGGACCUCGGUGCUGAGGCUGCAAAUCAAAGGUCAGCGGGUUGGAACUAUGCAUUUCAUGGCCAGGGUCACUGUUCUCCAGACUUUGAGUUGUUUUUUGCUGCAAUCUCAAUUUCAUUUAGCUGUACUCCCUGCCCACCUCCAACCUACCUUCCAGUGCCAAGUUUUCUGAAAUUGUGAUUAAGGUAACUAGGCCUCAUGGGCUUUGUGCCUUCUCUGCCCAGCCGGGCCCCUAUCCAAAGCAGUAUGCUGCAGCAAGGAAAGACCUGGAGACAGAUUUUCCAUAGCACUUGCUCAAGAUGCUUAAACUUGAGGGUGUCUGUUAGCAGUGGGAGGUGUAGAGUAUUCUAGGUGGGGAGAGAAAGCAGGUUGUCAUAGAGAAUUUUUUGCUGGUAACUUGUCUACUGUGAUCUCAAAAGAAAGGUGUAUGGGGCGGGGGGCUGGGUGGCUCAGUCGGUUAAGCGUCCAACUCUUGAUUUUGGCUCAUGAUCUCAUGGUUCGUGGAUUUGAGCCCUGAACUAAGUGCAGGGCCUUCUUGAGAUUCUCUCUCUCCCUCUCUCUCUUCCCCUUCCCUGCUCGUGCACGUGCAUGUGUGUGUACUCUUUCUCUCUCAAAAUAAAUAAAUGAAUAGACUCAAAUAAAAAAAAAAAGAAAGGGAUAUGAAUCUCCAAGACACAAGUAUUUUGUUGUAAAUUAUUUACUCAUUCUAAAUGAAUAUUCACUUCCAGAUCUAAUUUUUAAAUUUUUAUUAUUUUUCUAAAAGAAGGGCCCCCAAAUUUUAUAAGCUUCAAGCCCACAAAACCUGGAUCUGCCUUUGGGAAGACUCAUACCCAAGCCUCAUCUCCAGAGACUGUGAUUUCAUUGAUCUGGGGCAGUAGAUCUCAGCUGAGGUAAAAUUAUCCCGCCAUGUGGAUAUCUAGCAAUGUCUAGAGACAUUUUUGGUUAUCACAACUGAGAAUGGGGGAGGUUUGCUAUUGGCAUUAACAGAUAAAUGCCAGAGAUGCUGCUAAAGAUCCUACAAGGACAGGACCGCUCCACAACAAAAAAUUAUCUGACCAAAAAUGUCAAUGGUGUUGCUCUGAGCAUUGGCGUUCUUCAAAAUCUUCCCAAUUAAUUUGAAUAUGCAAAUGGGGUUGAGAACAACAGUUCUAGAGAUAACAAUAGCUAACCUUUAUUACUGAGUACUGUGUGCCAGCCACUGUUCUAAAUGAAUUAACUUAUUUAGUCUCUGGAGUAAGCCUAUGAAAUAAGUACUAUUACUAUUCCCAUUUUACAGCUGUGGAAACUGAGGUACAAAUAUUAAAAACACAUCCUAAAAUUCAAUCCCAGACAGUUGGGUUCCAAAGUCUGAGCAGUUGACUAGUAUUGCACACCUGAGCCUCCUUGACUGACUUAUUUCAUCCAGCUAGAGCUCUCUAGGGGAAAGGGAGGGAGAGUGCCUGGUGGCUCCCAUAGCCAUAAUCCUGCCUACCCCCAACACUCAGAAAUGAAAAGGAGCAAAGGUCUCAAAGUAGAUACAGCUGAGGAGGCAGGGGGUGGGGGCGGUCUAGAUCCACUCUGAAGUUUAUGUCAACAGAGAGCAGUUGGGGGUAUGGGUAUUUGUUCCAGUUUCUCACAUAUGCCUGUGCCUUGUUCAAUUUGAUGAAAUUUCUUAAAAUGAAAGUUUAAUCUAGAUAUGGUAGACCCUUGCUCGGGUACGAAAAAAAAAAGGUGCCUUGGCCCAUUAGACGGUAAAUAAGUAACAGUAAUUGUUGCUCCCAUCACCAUCUCUUGUACAGUAAUGAGCUGUGUGGCAGUGUACCUUUCACAGAUGGCCAUAUUUAAUUGAAAGCCGGGCCCAGCAGCUGCCAGAAAUGCUGGCUACCAGACUGGGAAAAGGGCUGCCAAAUGAGAGGACUGCAGACAAGUUCUGUGGCAAAAUGGUAGAAAUAUAUAACGUGAAAUGACUCUCUCUUUAUUCACUGUUACAAAAUGCUCAAGCAGAAAAGGAAAGUACCAGCACACUUGGACAUUGUCGUUGAAUUCCAUAACACCGGGGUGAUGAAGACAGCUGCUGCCUUCAGGGCAGGGGCUGUGGUGGGGAUAAGGCAAAAAUGCAAGUAUUUCUAAAAUAAAACGGGCUAUGGAAAGAGGGCUAGCCCAUGCUUGGAAGAGAACGCCAAGCCCCACAUGGGAACUACAGCGAUGGCCAACUCCUUGAUUUCAGCCCAGUGAGACCCUGAGCAGAGGAUCUAAUUGUGCCAUGUUUGGACUUGUGAUUUAUAGAAACUGUGAGAUAAUAAAUCUGCAUCGUUGUGAACUGCUAAGUUUGUGAUAAUUUUAUACACAAUAACAGGAAACAAAUACAAUGCAUUCUAAUGGUUGAUUUUUCAACGCCAAACCAACUUUACAUUCCUGGGAUGAGCCUUAUUUGGUCAUGAUGUGUUGUCCUUUUAUAUACUGUUAGAUUUGAUUUGCUAAAAUUUUGGUCAGAAUUGUUUAUAUCUGUUUAUGAGAGACAUGGCUUGAAGUGAAAGUGAGAAGAAAUUUGAAAGAGGAAGAAAUGGAAGUAAGCUGAGAAAGGAAGACAUGACAGAUGGGAGAACAAUGAGCAGAGGUGGGAAAAUGUCGGAAUAGGUUUUGAAAACAGUCCAGCAAUUCAUCUGGCUGGAUAGUCACAUACAGGAAGUCAAGUGGUGGGGAAUGCAGCUGGAAACCUAGGGAAGAGAAUGCACACUUAAUUUGGGAGAUGAAGUCAAAAGCCGCUGAAAGUCAUUGUUGGACAUAACGGGAUGAGCGAGCCAGAAGCAGUGUGUCAUUUGAAGUGUACCAAACAGAACCUAGAGAGCAGUAGGGAGGCCCUUGCAAUCGUCUGGUUAGAGGUCACUAGAGCCUAAGCCUGCACGUGGUCAGGGGGAGGAGAGGAAGCAAGGGACAGAGGAGGAGAUCCAGCCCAGAUGUUAGAUUAUCUCCACCUCCUCUUUGGACACCUGAAGAACACCAGCAGGACUUAUUCUAUCAACUGGUGAUUGGAACCGAGUGCUGAAGGCAAAUCUGAAAACUACUGGUUGUCUGCAGGUUCAGCUCCCUGUGUUCCCGCUGGAUCCAGGCCUGGCUGGUUGGCCCCAGACAGUACACAGCUAUUAGCGGGGCACAGGAGGACUCCAAGCAUCUGGUUUGAGUCUGAUGUCUACUCUGGGAUGGGAGGUGGUUCAGCUUAACAGAGGAAACGUGGGAGAGGGCCAAGGGGGUUCAGGGAGCAGAACUGUGCUCACUCAGUAGGGGCUUGAGGCAUCUCUUUUGGGUUUGUGGUCGCAAUGCAGGAUCAGAAGCAGAAGCUGACAGGAAGGACCUUCCUGGAAGGAGCCAUUGCCGGACCGGAAGCUUAUCCCACCACAGAGGUCAGAAGGGAACGGAGAAAGCUUGGGGAAACAUGGCAUGUUGGACAUUUAUUCUUGGUCCUUUGCCUCACACCGGCUCCCCAGGUGUGUGAGAGGCCCUAUAUUCGUGAGUACACCGGGCACUCGCCCACAAUGUCCUCCUGGGAGUUGCCCCUCUAAAUUCAUUCUUCCUCCAAGAAGACAGCUUUUACUUUCACAGCAGAGGCAAGUGGCUCUAAUGAGAUGCUGGCAUUUCCUGGGAGAGGAUUAGUACGUCAGCGUACCUGACCAUCUUGACAGGGGCACGGAUAUCUCUGGGAAGAGAUAACGUAGUGCAUGGGACGGACUGAUGAGGGGAGGAGAGACUACAUCUGAGACAUUGGGCCAAGGAAGUGAGGAUGGGUGUCGUGAGAGCACUGGGGUGGGUGGCAUUGGCAACAGAAGGAGCCCCCAGUUCACAGCUUCGCUCCAGCCUCACCCUGUAGCUUCGUACAACUCUCCUCCACGUUCCCUUCUGUGGUGGCUUUCAAUUAGGUCCACUAAUUCUUUGAUCAACCACUGUUCAGUCGGCGAAGGGAGUUUGAUUCUCUUCCCCUUGGUUAUGGGCCAAACUUAGUGACUACUAAUGGACAGAGUAUGGCAAAAAUAACUGUGUUACUUCCAGGACUAAGUCAUAGGGCUUUCCUCUUGGUUGCUCUCUCUUGGAUCCUUUGCUCUGGGGGAAGCCAGCUGCCAUGUCACAAGGAGAGGUCCACGUGUCAUGGAGCAGGGACCUCCUGCCAACAGCUCUGUGAGUUCAGCCACCGUACGAGUGUAUCCUCCAACCCCAGGCAAGCCUUAAAAUGACUGCAGCCCCUGCUGACACCGGGACUAACCCUGAGUAGAACCCUCCUGCUAAGCUGCUCUCAAAUUCCUGACCUAAAGAAACUGAGAUAAUAUGCAUUUGUUAUUUUAAGCCACUGAACGUUGUAGUAACUUGUUAUUCAGCAAGAGAUAACUGUUAUACCUUCCAGUAUACAGUCUCAAUCAGCUGCUUCAGCAAAUAUGAUUCAGUGGCCCUUAGCAUGGAAAGGCCUAGCAAAUAAAGAUUGUUGCGUAAGACCAAUCUCUGUAUUUUACACAGUUAAGGAAAACGAGACCCUAUCUGGAAUAGGGGCUAGAGUGCUUUGCUUUGUUUAAUUUUGCCUACUUGAAGUAAUACUUUUGAACUGUGACAUGGAAAGUUGUAUGUUGGAGUAUACCGAUUUAUGCACAGCCUGAGACAGAAUUCAUUAUUCGGCUUAUAAACACCAGCUUUUGGCCUUGCCUAUGAUGGAGAAUUUAAAGGGGCAUAACACCAGAAUUAUAAAGUGCGCCAUGAGACAUGCUGACUGGGAGUAAAUCCAUGGAAAAGCUGUUUCCGUUAGCCUGGAGGUGUCUCAACGAGAGGAUAAAUCUCAAAACUGGUAACAAUCCCCACCGACUCGCCAGGGUGGAGCAGUGUACCCUUUCUCCAUCUAUUCUGAUCCCAGGAAGGUGGCUCUAGGUCCACUGACCUGACCUCCCACCCCGCCUGAAGAAGGGAAGAACAGUCUGGCUUGAUAGGAACGAAAACGAGUGAAAAUGGAAGGCACAGUCUGAGGAAUUCUCGGAUGCUCAGAAUUCUCGGAUGACCUGGACCAAACAGGGAUAGCUAGGGCGGGAUAAUCAAGUCCAUCAGGGCAGUCCGUGGACAUAUCUGAGAGGUCCCUGAGGGCAGCCCUCACCAGUGCUGUCAGGGGCUUCCUAACCUGAGCCCGUUGAACGUUGGAGCUAGAAGCGAUUGAGAAUUAGGACAGCAGCUCCGAAAGUGCUGGGGAAGGAGGCAAUUGCGGACAUCUCUUCUCUCACCUGCUCUCUUCUUCCCCAGCAGCUGGGAGCAUGCGAGUCCAUCACCUCUGCUCUUCUAAGGCAAGGGUAGGAGGCUGGCACAGACCCAGAGACCUCAACUUCCUCAGGCAGCUUUCCCUUUUCCGUUUCAGAUGUGAUCCCUCCACCUUCUGAGAGCUCACUCUACUGCACCUGUACCUGCCUUCCAGCACCAUGGUGUCACAUCACACUUGAAUCUAGCACCAAGUCUGGCUCGAAAAUGUUUGCAUGAAAGAAUGAACGGACGAAAUGAUGACUCUCACUCGCUGGGAUGGUGAAAGCCCACAGAUCCAUGAUGCCCUCCUCAUGGCUCAUCUCACUGUUAACUUCUCGCUUCCUCUGGGGCCCCCAAAACAGUACGACCUCCUGGAGUGCUAUGGGCAGGCCAGCAGAGCCCUGACUGCAGCCCAGAGAGGAAAAUGACUUGCCCCAGUCAGUAAGUGGCAAAGUGUCCUUCAGUCGGUGCCCUCGUUCCUGCCCUCUGGGAGGCCCUGCCCUGAUAAACAGCUAUGGAAUGCCGACACACAUGUGAAUGUGCUUGCAGCUGAAGCUCUUGAACAUUCAAAUGCCUUCCCUGCUGGAUAAUCUCUGAAAGAAGUUGGACAAAGGAGAGGGGAAUGGACCCAGGGAGCUUAAGAAAUGUUUUUGUAAACCUGUAUCCGGCCACACUAAAUAUGUAUGCAAUGUAGGUGGGCCUUGCACUCCGGGGGGUUUCCAUUCAUGUGUUAGGAUUUCAGUGAUAAGAAAAUAUAUUUUUAAGUUCUUUUUCCAUGCCUGUUAUGUAUCUUGGAAAGUUAGCAGCUGGGGAGAUUUUUUUUUCCUACUGCGUCCUAUUUAAAAAAAAAAAAUGAAAACAAACCUUUUGAUUUUUUAAAGUAAUUAUGCGUACCAUUUAGAAAAAGCUACCUUAUUAAUAUUUUGAUAGACUUCCCAGGCUCUUACUUACACACCUAUACAUGAAAAGAUACAGCUUUAAGAAUAUGAGAUCAUACCAUACUGUUUCAUAACCUGACUUUUUUUUUAUGCAAGAAUCUAUAGUGAACCUGUGUCCAUGGACAUCAAAAGAUGUACAUCAUCAUCAUC
Long non-coding RNA from Panthera uncia (snow leopard), 6642 nucleotides. RefSeq lists it as uncharacterized. NCBI's taxonomy places the organism in Eukaryota, Metazoa, Chordata, Mammalia, Carnivora, Felidae. The transcript has 5 exons. The record is from RefSeq and is a predicted model, not a curated record.